Molecule: small RNA, 3406 nt
Filed under: Caenorhabditis elegans
Lineage: Eukaryota; Metazoa; Nematoda; Chromadorea; Rhabditida; Rhabditidae
Description: Unclassified non-coding RNA H14A12.10
Source: RNAcentral
UAUGAACUUCUACAACAUCUUCAUUUUCGCCGUUCUCUCAAUUGCCGCCGUUUCUGGACAUCGUUGCCGUGGUGGAAACAACUACGGAGGAGGUGGCCGUGGAAUUGUCAUUGGAACCGCCAAGGAAUAAUUUGAAUGAUUUGUUGACCUUGUGUUAAUGAUAAAAUUGUGAGCAUUUCAAAUCUUUUCUAUAUUAACUUGUUGAAUUGGCAUUCUAAGCGUUCCAUGCAGGAACCAAAACACCUGCUUGGCCUCAAGGAAAACGCUGCAUGGUUUGGGCCUAAAUCCUCAAUUCCUAUUUUAUUCUUUGAUCAAAAUUAGAAAAUUAGAAUUUCGUAAACUCACCCAAAAAUUGAGAAAGGAGGCGAAAAACAGGAAUGGUUUCUAUUAUCAAAGCCCUAGGGUAUUAAAAUAGUUUCUCAGGGCGAUUGGCUUUUAGUAUAAUUUAUAAUUUUAAAAGAGUUUGGUAUAUGUAUAAUUCAUUUACUUAUUUACAUUCAUAUUGCUAGCUAGAUUUGCAAAAUAUGGAAAAAUUAGUGGAAAAACUGACUGGAAUGCUGGUCCUCCAGUCAUUCCACCAACACUAUUCAUUUCAAUUCCCUGAACUUCACACUCUCGAAAACCUUUUGCAAAUGGAUUUGAUUCGAUUUUCAGACUUGUUAUCUGAAAAUGUUAUAUUUAGAAGCUGUAAAUACACAAUAUUUAAAAUCACCCGAUGAUUUUGAUAAGCUGUAACUGCAAUAAAUUCAGUCUCUUCAAAAGAAAAAGUGUGCCGCUUUUGUGAAUCAUCUUGUUCAAUUAUGUGAACUCUUGGACGAUAUUUGUGCAUUGAAUUCACAAUUAUCUAAAACACAAUUUCCAAAAUGUGCUAGACAAACUGUGUGUGACUUACAUGUCCAUUGUUAUCCAGCUGAUUGUUUGUUAGCUUCAUUUUAUCAAAACUAACAGGAGCCCGCAUCCAAUGAGCACCACGAGCUGGGGAGUCCGUGUGAACAAACAUUCUGCUCGGGAGUUCACUUUCCCCUGAAUUUUAACAAUUGGUAUAUGAAAGUUCUCAAAUUUUUUAAAAUUGCGAAUUCAGUGGGGAAACUGUUUAAAACCACUUAUACGGUGUUCAGUAGUUUAAUUACAGUCAAAAAUGUUUCAACUAUACAAAUUUUGGAAAAAAAACCAAAAUUGUGUUAUACGAAUUUUAUACUUUUUUGCAAACAUUUUACGAGGGUUCCUUUUCAAUGAAACAAUUGGCUAGUUAAAAAUCAAAUAUUUCCCAACUAACUUCACUCAAAAACAACCAACCUGGACCGGUAGAAAUCCAUUUGCUUUGAUGAAAUGAAUAUCGAAAACGUUUCAUUUCAAUACACUCCAAAUCUACCAUAACUACAUAACUCUUCACGGGAUCAAGACCAGCGAUGAUGACUGAUAAGGUAGGAAACAUUCUUCUAAACACUGUCAUGUAGAGAACAUUUCUGGUCAAUAUUUUGAACUAAAUCAGCCGUAAAAACGUUCUAUAUUAAACUUUUUUGUAUUCUAUUUUUCAGUUCAGAAAAUAUUAAUCUACUCCUUUUUUUAAUUAUCUGGUAAAGGAAAUACUUCUGAUCUAUCAACGGCCAACGUUGAGAAAUGUGGUGAAAGACUAUUUGGGUAAAAACUGAAAAUGUAGAUGAGAAACUUCAAGUGAGGAUGCUAUUUUGGAUUUAAAAAUUACAAAUCUUAGAACUUUGAAUUUGUAGCCAUGAAUCUUAUACCAAGGCAGUAUUAAAGAGUGACUAAUAAAAAGAUAAAAAUCUCGCAGUUAAGUUUAAUACUUUCCACUAACCUUCCACUUUUAGUAACAAUCAUCUCUGUGCCAAGAUUAUGAAAACGACGCCAUAAAUUACUUGAUUGUAGGAAAACUCGAAUAAACUUACAAUUAUCCUUAGUGAUUAUUUGCUUUCUCUUUUCAACUGGUUUUCUAGCCAAAAUAGCAUCGAUCGAAAAGUUUCGAUUCAUUUUUGGAUGUUAUAGAAGCAAAAAAUAUAUUUAAAAAUGAAGUGGCUGUGAGAAAGAAGACGAGUGUGAAUACUUCUGAAUGGUGAGAGGUCUCGUCGACACGGACUUGGUGAUUUCCAUAUGUUCGGUGUUUUUCAAUCAGAGCUCGAAAACUUUCCCUCCACCUCCUCCUACAUCUGGCACCCGCAGUUUGUCGUCGUUGUCAUCCACACUCGUUUCUACCGUAAUCCGUCAAUUUGCCAUUUCAUUCUCGUCAUCCACAAACACGUGGCGGUGAAUGUGAGGAAGAUGAAGAAGCCGUGUGCAAUUUGAGUGUGUUUUACGAUCAUUUUAUUCGAUUUGAUUGGAGUGGGUCUGAUGAGGGCGAGAUAUGUAAGAACUUCUGUGAUAUUUGUAGAAAUUAUGAAAAAAUUAUAUUUAGAUUAAUUGUACAUCAGGGAUUCAAAAUUUUUUUUCUUGAUUCCUGGAAAGUUUCACUAAUAAUAAAAAAUUUAAAAUUGAAAUACUGUUUGAAAUAAUUGAAUAGAGUUUGAUUACAAAAACAGUUUCCGGCUAAUUUUGAUCGAUUCUCAGAAAUUGUCUGAUAUAAUUUUAAAAACUCAAUUCUUUUCAGACACAGAAAUCCCUGAGUUUUUUCAUUUCCUAGUUUUGAAAAUUGCAUAUUGAGAAACAUUUUUCACUUUACUUGAUUUAUCUUGGACUGUUCCGAAAUUCUGAAAUAUUUGAAUUCCUUAAUGUUCAUCUAGCCCGAGUUAUAUAAUAAAAUUCAAAACUCUCUGCAUACUUCUAUUUGGCCAGAAAAACAUUGACGAAGUUCCUGAAUAUCGUUCAAUUUGAUAAGAAGUUUGGAAAAAAUGUCCCUUGAAUGUAUCAGUCAAUUUGAGAUAGCUUUCCAUUGCAGUUUGUUCAAAAUCAAAAUGCUCACAAAUUUAUCAUUAAAAAAAAUCAACAACUGUUGAAUUUAUUCCUUGGCAGUUCCAAUGACAAUUCCUCCACGUCCACGACCACCUCCGCUGUAUCCACCACGGCAACGAUGUCCAGAAACGGCGGCAAUUGAGAGAACGGCGAAAAUGAAGAUGUUGUAGAAGUUCAUACUGAAGUUUUCAGUUUUUUUUAGAAGACUUGAAAGUGAGACUGCUUACGUUGACUCGGUUGACUGAAUCGUGACUUUUCAGGUUUGCGGAGAAGUUUUUAUAGUAGCCAUAGUGAGGUAAAGAUCACCCCGCAAAAAAGAAAUCAAACUCCGAAACUAUAAACUUCUGAUCUUUUCGUUUCUUUGCAAUCUUUGCAACUUGCAAUUUGCAUCCAAAGAUCUUUUACGCACAAAAUACAUUCAAAACUCCGGUAUAAAACCGACACCGAAACCUUUGAAAAUCAUCAACUUUCCUUUCAGUUUUGAAAGCUGCUCCUGAAAAGG